This 253-nucleotide ribosomal RNA is filed under the name uncultured bacterium. RNAcentral describes it as "partial 16S ribosomal RNA". It matches the Rfam family "Bacterial small subunit ribosomal RNA", at positions 524 to 776 of the family's 1533-position model. The record is from RNAcentral.
GACGUAGGGCGCGAGCGUUGUCCGGAUUUAUUGGGCGUAAAGAGCUCGUAGGCGGCUUGUCGCGUCGGUCGUGAAAACCUGCAGCUCAACUGCAGGCUUGCGGUCGAUACGGGCAGGCUAGAGUUCGGUAGGGGAGACUGGAAUUCCUGGUGUAGCGGUGAAAUGCGCAGAUAUCAGGAGGAACACCGAUUGCGAAGGCAGCUCGCUGGAACGUUACUGACGCUGAGACGCGAAAGCGUGGGGAGCGAACAGG